RNAcentral lists this ribosomal RNA (253 nucleotides) under uncultured bacterium. RNAcentral's name for it is "partial 16S ribosomal RNA". It matches the Rfam family "Bacterial small subunit ribosomal RNA", at positions 524 to 776 of the family's 1533-position model. The record is from RNAcentral.
GACGUAGGGCGCGAGCGUUGUCCGGAAUUAUUGGGCGUAAAGGGCUCGUAGGCGGUCUGUCGCGUCGAAAGUGAAAACCCAGGGCUUAACCCUGGGCCUGCUUCCGAUACGGGCAGACUAGAGGUAUGCAGGGGAGAACGGAAUUCCUGGUGUAGCGGUGAAAUGCGCAGAUAUCAGGAGGAACACCGGUGGCGAAGGCGGUUCUCUGGGCAUUACCUGACGCUGAGGAGCGAAAGUGUGGGGAGCGAACAGG